This 1106-nucleotide long non-coding RNA is filed under the name Brachypodium distachyon (stiff brome). RNAcentral describes it as "long non-coding RNA (BDIS_LNC001781)". Lineage: Eukaryota; Viridiplantae; Streptophyta; Magnoliopsida; Poales; Poaceae. The record is from RNAcentral.
UGGUAACUAUAUUAAUGUGUCGUGCUGGGCCUCCUGCUGGCAUAAUGGGUCGGUAUAAAUCCGGCAUGCCAAUAUUUUAGUCCUAUCACAAAACAGACCAAAACCGGGCAAGCAAAUGCAAAGAGAGUACUUUUGAUGGUCUGAUUCAGAUGGUUGCUGCUGCCACCGUUGUUUUCUUUACUCUUCUUGAUUUUGUCCCUCCCUUCUCGAUCGAUGCAGCUGAUCCUGCAACGAUGGAUCGAUAUGCCCCCGUUUUUUGUUCCUAACUCCCAGAUGCUCCUAUAUAUGUAUGGUACCUAAAACAUGUCACGCGGCAAUAAAUAAAUAAUUAAAUCCGACUUGGCAUCCUAUUUAUAAAGAGCAUGAAUGGUGCAGGUCCUGUUUGAUUAGGCUUAAAAUUAUGGUUUUGAUUUUUGGUUUAUAAACCAAUUUAGAUGUUUUUGACUUUGUCUUUCAAUCUUUGACUAGAUAUCGUUACAUAAUGAUACAAGCAAAAGGCCAAAACUUAAUUAAUGUAUUUGGUUUAAGCUAAAAAUAAAUAGCCAAAAGUUAUGUCCAAUCAAAUACUUAUGGUCCUAGUCUAGAUACGACUCUUAUCGCCAAAACAAAAGGAAAAAAAACCUUCAAAAUUAUUUCUCAACAAAAAACAAAACAUAGCUUGUUUAGAUAUAACACUAAGAUAAGGUUGUUUCUAAACAUUUAAAAUUUACUCCAUAUGGGUCUAAGAUACAGUCAAUCGCAAGUGGGCUUAAAUAGUUUACAAAAACAAAAAAGUGGGCUUAAAUGGAGCCAAAUGAUUAUAUAUCCUAUCCAUGAAAGUACGAAAUACCAGUAUUCUUUCUGAGAUACGGCAUGCAUCACUCUUUUUCUUCACACGUUGACUACCGAAAUAUUCAAAUAUAGAAGAACAGAAACAGAAAGUGCGCUAUAACAUGUGCCAUCGGCCCGGACGCGUUGUUCACACAGACCGUACGUACGUUCGUGUGCUAUAUACACACACGUUGACACGAUAUAUAUGGGGAUUUUAACGCAUUAUUGUUUUAGCUGGGAACUGAACUCAUGUGUACUGGAGUGGUACUCAGAUACGUGUAAAGCAAGAGAAAGAC